GAGUUUGAUCCUGGCUCAGGACAAGCGCUGGCGGCGUGCCUAACACAUGCAAGUCGCACGUCCUGCCCGUCUUCUUCGCAAGGAGAGGACGGGCAGGCAGUGGCGGACGGGUGAGUAACACGUGGGUGACCUACCCCCAGGUGAGGGAUACCGGCUCGAAAGGGCCGACAAUCCCGCAUAGGCCUGGCUCCUUGGAGGGAGCCAGGCAAAGCUCGGUAGCCUUCGGGCCGCUGAGCGCCUGAGGAGGGGCCUGCGGCCGAUUAGCUGGUUGGUGGGGUAAGAGCCUACCAAGGCGAUGAUCGGUAGCUGGUCUGAGAGGACGAGCAGCCACACUGGGAUUGAGAACGGCCCAGACUCCUACGGGGGGCAGCAGUGAGGAAUAUUCGGCAAUGGGGGCAACCCUGACCGAGCAACGCCGCGUGCAGGAGGACGCUCUUCGGAGUGUAAACUGCUUUUCUCUGUGACGAGCAAGGACGGUAGCAGAGGAAGAAGUCUCGGCUAACUACGUGCCAGCAGCCGCGGUAAUACGUAGGAGGCGAGCGUUGUCCGGAGUUACUGGGCGUAAAGGGCCUGUAGGCGGUCGGUGGCGUCUGCGGUGACAGCUCCCGGCUCAACUGGGAGAGGGCCGACAGAUACGCACCGACU
RNAcentral lists this ribosomal RNA (645 nucleotides) under uncultured bacterium. RNAcentral describes it as "bacterial SSU rRNA". It matches the Rfam family "Bacterial small subunit ribosomal RNA", at positions 9 to 642 of the family's 1533-position model. The record is from RNAcentral.